This 490-nucleotide ribosomal RNA is filed under the name uncultured bacterium. RNAcentral's name for it is "partial 16S ribosomal RNA". It matches the Rfam family "Bacterial small subunit ribosomal RNA", at positions 30 to 507 of the family's 1533-position model. The record is from RNAcentral.
AUUGAACGCUGGUGGCAGGCCUAACACAUGCAAGUCGAACGGUAACAGGAAGCAGCUUGCUGCUUUGCUGACGAGUGGCGGACGGGUGAGUAAUGUCUGGGAAACUGCCUGAUGGAGGGGGAUAACUACUGGAAACGGUAGCUAAUACCGCAUAACGUCGCAAGACCAAAGAGGGGGACCUUCGGGCCUCUUGCCAUCGGAUGUGCCCAGAUGGGAUUAGCUAGUAGGUGGGGUAACGGCUCACCUAGGCGACGAUCCCUAGCUGGUCUGAGAGGAUGACCAGCCACACUGGAACUGAGACACGGUCCAGACUCCUACGGGAGGCAGCAGUGGGGAAUAUUGCACAAUGGGCGCAAGCCUGAUGCAGCCAUGCCGCGUGUAUGAAGAAGGCCUUCGGGUUGUAAAGUACUUUCAGCGGGGAGGAAGGGAGUAAAGUUAAUACCUUUGCUCAUUGACGUUACCCGCAGAAGAAGCACCGGCUAACUCCGUG